UCGAGAGUUUGAUCCUGGCUCAGGAUGAACGCUAGCGGCAGGCCUAACACAUGCAAGUCGAGGGGUAGAGGAAGCUUGCUUCCUUGAGACCGGCGCACGGGUGCGUAACGCGUAUGCAAUCUACCUUAUACAGGGGAAUAGCCCAGAGAAAUUUGGAUUAAUGCCCCAUAGUGUUAUUGAAUCGCAUGGUUUAAUAACUAAAGUUCCAACGGUAUAAGAUGAGCAUGCGUCCCAUUAGUUAGUUGGUAAGGUAACGGCUUACCAAGACAAUGAUGGGUAGGGGUCCUGAGAGGGA
RNAcentral lists this ribosomal RNA (295 nucleotides) under uncultured Flavobacteriaceae bacterium. RNAcentral's name for it is "partial 16S ribosomal RNA". It matches the Rfam family "Bacterial small subunit ribosomal RNA", at positions 1 to 301 of the family's 1533-position model. The record is from RNAcentral. Lineage: Bacteria; Pseudomonadati; Bacteroidota; Flavobacteriia; Flavobacteriales; Flavobacteriaceae.